Molecule: ribosomal RNA, 489 nt
Filed under: uncultured bacterium
Lineage: Bacteria
Description: partial 16S ribosomal RNA
Rfam family: Bacterial small subunit ribosomal RNA
Source: RNAcentral
GUGAACGCUGGCGGCAGGCCUAACACCUGCCAGUCGAACGGCAGCACAAGAGAGCUUGCUCUCUGGGUGGCGAGUGGCGGACGGGUGAGGAAUGCAUCGGAAUCUGCCCAUUUGUGGGGGAUAACCUCGGGAAACCGGGACUAAUACCGCAUACGACCUACGGGUGAAAGCAGGGGAUCUUCGGACCUUGCGCAGAUGGAUGAGCCGAUGCCGGAUUAGCUAGUUGGAGGGGUAAAGGCCCACCAAGGCGACGAUCCGUAGCUGGUCUGAGAGGAUGAUCAGCCACACUGGGACUGAGACACGGCCCAGACUCCUACGGGAGGCAGCAGUGGGGAAUAUUGGACAAUGGGCGCAAGCCUGAUCCAGCCAUGCCGCGUGUGUGAAGAAGGCCUUCGGGUUGUAAAGCACUUUUGUUGGGAAAGAAAAGCAGCCGGUUAAUACCCGGUUGUCAUGACGGUACCCAAAGAAUAAGCACCGGCUAACUUCGUG